Long non-coding RNA from Erigeron canadensis, 471 nucleotides. RefSeq lists it as uncharacterized. The record is from RefSeq and is a predicted model, not a curated record. The transcript has 3 exons. NCBI's taxonomy places the organism in Eukaryota, Viridiplantae, Streptophyta, Magnoliopsida, Asterales, Asteraceae.
GUUCUUCUUCUUCAUUAAAAUCAAGAAUUUCAUUUGAUUUUGGAAAAGUAAAUGUUUAUUCUUCUUUGAAUCAAUUGUUUGGUGUUGGAGCUGUCGGAAAGAAGAAUUCAAAUAACAACAAUAAUUCUGAUUCCUCUUCUUCAGCGAAAGUUUUGGAGUUUGAUCUGGAAUCUGUUGGUCCAAGCUUGAUAGUGUUCAACUCCUUGUCAAGUGUGUUAAAUAUCCUUCUUCAAUGACAAACUAUGGAAUCUUGCGGAUACAAGUUUACAUCAUGAUUGUAAUGUAACGAAAUGAGGAACUUUAGCUUUAAAAGUUACCAAAAUUAGAAGUAUUGCAGUUUACAUGGGACAGCUGCAGAUUUGCAUUGGAGGCAUAGGGAUAAAGACUUUGCUGAUCUCACCUCCAUCUACAAUUGUGGCUUUUUGUUUUGAUGCUUCGUGAGAUCAGCCAGAAAGGGCCAGAUAUUGAGGC